This 205-nucleotide unclassified non-coding RNA is filed under the name bacterium L5(2011). RNAcentral describes it as "partial contains 16S ribosomal RNA and 16S-23S ribosomal RNA intergenic spacer". The stretch from base 1 to 157 matches the Rfam family "Bacterial small subunit ribosomal RNA", at positions 1377 to 1533 of the family's 1533-position model. The record is from RNAcentral.
UUCUUUGUACACACCGCCCGUCACACCAUGAGAGUUUGUAACACCCAAAGCCGGUGAGAUAACCUUCGGGAGUCAGCCGUCUAAGGUGGGACAGAUGAUUAGGGUGAAGUCGUAACAAGGAAGCCGUAGGAGAACGUGCGGCUGGAUCACCGUCCGUUUCUAAGGAAUAUACGGAGGCUACACACAUACUUGUUGAAACAAUGUU